Molecule: long non-coding RNA, 917 nt
Organism: Quercus robur (English oak)
Lineage: Eukaryota; Viridiplantae; Streptophyta; Magnoliopsida; Fagales; Fagaceae
Exons: 3
Source: RefSeq, a predicted model, not a curated record
UUCUUUGCCGCACCAGAAACUUCCUUGGUUCUUCUUUCUUUGCUCAUUUGUUUUUUUCUUUCUUUGUUCUUAUCGGUAGCACCUCGUCUCUUCUUUGACUUUCUCAAAGCAACUAGAACAAUCAAGAACUCUCUCCCUCUCAUACCCACAGGUCCAACACCAAAAGAAAGAAAAACUCUCAACUCUCCUCUCCCUCUCACACGUACGGGUCCAACAGCAACAAGAAGUUUCUUUUAAUUCUUCUCAAGCUCUUGUUUCCAACUUGAAGCUAGAGUGAUUCUAGCUUUAUCACUCUAAUAAUCCGUGUCGAGGGUGUUACCAGUACCCAAGUCUAAGCUCCUUCGACUUUAGGCUCUCGAUUCAUCUACUUUCAAGUAAGGGAUAAGUUAUUUGGGUAUUUGGUUAUGUCCUCUGAUAAUCUGAACUCGAUCAAAGUAUGUAUUGAGGAUGGCGAUGCGUCCAUGCUCAAUCAAAGUAUGUACUGAGGAUGGCGAUGUGUUCGCACUCGAUCAAAGUAUGUACAUACAGUAGAAGAAAAUUGUAGGGGCUUUGUCAUUACAAUACAAACUUAUCAGAUAUGGACUAACCAAUAUGUUAUGAACAACUAUAUUAUUUUAUUGAUCAUGAGAGAAUGAUUUUGUUUAAAUGCAUUAUGAGAAGCUGAAAGCUCUUAUAAAAAGAAGUUUCUGAUGAAAAGAAAAGCUAUUCGUUAAAGAUAAACAUUUCUGAAGUUUCUGCUGUUCUUUAAAGAUAAAGUUUCUGAUGAAAGUACAAAUUUCUGACGAAAGUACAAGUUUAUGUUAAUAUUAAAAUGUGACUAUAAAAGUAAUAAUAUUUUAUGAGAAGAAGUUUAUGAAGAAAAGUUUUUUUAUUCUUUAAGAUGUUUCUAAAUUAAGACAAAGUUACCAAUUAUUUGA